AGCGGUAGCAUGGUUAGUAGCAAUACUAACUGAUGACAAGCGGCGGACGGGUGAGGAAUACGUAGGAACCUACCCUCAAGCGGGGGACAACUAAGGGAAACUUUAGCUAAUACCGCAUAAUCUCGAAAGAGCAAAGCUGCCCGCAAGGGUGGCACUUGAGGAGGGGCCUGCGUCCGAUUAGCUAGUUGGUGAGGUAAUGGCUCACCAAGGCGAUGAUCGGUAACUGGUCUGAGAGGACGACCAGUCACACUGGGACUGAGACACGGCCCAGACUCCUACGGGAGGCAGCAGUGGGGAAUAUUGGACAAUGGGGGCAACCCUGAUCCAGCGAUGCCGCGUGGGUGAAGAAGGCCUUCGGGUUGUAAAGCCCUUUAGGUUGGGAAGAAGGGUAUCCGGCGAAUAACCGGGUAUUUUGACUGUACCGACAGAAUAAGCACCGGCAAACUCUGUGCCAGCAGCCGCGGUAAUACAGAGGGUGCGAGCGUUAAUCGGAUUUACUGGGCGUAAAGGGCGCGUAGGCGGUAAGAUGUGUGUGAUGUGAAAGCCCCGGGCUUAACCUGGGAAAGUGCAUCGCA
Molecule: ribosomal RNA, 575 nt
Filed under: uncultured bacterium
Lineage: Bacteria
Description: bacterial SSU rRNA
Rfam family: Bacterial small subunit ribosomal RNA
Source: RNAcentral